Molecule: non-coding RNA, 1308 nt
Organism: Phascolarctos cinereus (koala)
Lineage: Eukaryota; Metazoa; Chordata; Mammalia; Diprotodontia; Phascolarctidae
Source: RefSeq, a predicted model, not a curated record
CUUUACCUUGUUUGGAAGUCUCAACAGGUGAUGGCGCUGUAGCAGUUCCUCUGGUAAACCCGGACUGGUUCUCUGUGUCUGCCUAUUUCUGUUGCAAAUCAAAGGACCAGUGUGUGUCGGCGUGGCCUGGAGACAUUUAACAUCAAAAGAUGCUAGAGUAGAAAAACUUACUUGGAGACUGGGGACAUGUCUUGAGAGAAUGGGAGAACGGUUCAUUUCAGGAUCUAAGUGCAGAAUUGAAUAGUCAUGCCCAGCCACAGAGGCAAAAGCAGAGUUACACUGUGUCCUGGGAAGAGAGGGAGGAGAACAAGGCAGCAGGAUCAUCUCAUUCUCACAGAAGAAUAGAAUCCCUACCUCAUGGGACCCAUCACACACAGAAGAGAUAACAGCUAAAGGAACUGGAACAGCAUCGAGAGACACAGACACAUUACAUUCUCAACCAGAGGAAGAGGAUGGGUAGGAAUAUCAUCAGGACUUGGAUACUUACCCUUCCUUCCUCCAUCACUGCCACACCACCCUGGCUGAGAUGGCAUAGCAUGCUGCCCUUGGCAAAAGACGAUCAUCUCUUUCAACUGAAUCUUAGUGGAGAAAGGUUCAAGGAGGUGGUAGGAGGAGGGACAAUGAGGAAAAAAGUGUCAGAGGGAAAUGCAGUGAGGGUUUGGACUAGAGUACUUUCUAUGGAGCUCAGCAUGUGCUCUGGGUCAUUGCUAACAGAACUAACCUAAUGGCUUCUGUUUGCUCCCUCAGUCCCUGUGAUGCAAAGAUAGCAUUGUAGAUGAUUAGUGACCUAGCCAGAAAGACCUACCUGUGCAGUAAGUAGACUAUUGGAGAAAAUGAGAAAAAACAGUUGGCUGUCUCUGUUUGAGACAUCCUCCACCAGCUCUCCCUCCAACAUCUGGGUGGAGGGGAAGGGAUUUCUCUCUUUUCUUCCUACCCUCAACUUCUGUAGCAAUGACAGCAAGAAAAAGUGUUUGGCUAGGGGAGGCUGAGAGUAGACCUCAGCUCUCUAGUUGCCUCUUCUACUUUGUGUUUCUUUCUUAGAGCACAGAUCAUCAAACAAUGAUCCUGAAAAAUGUAUAGUGUUGGCUAUCUGAAAGCUCCUGAGUUCCUGAGUCAGUCCUAGAGGUACUUCCUGCAACUAAAUCUCUUCUUGGAAUGAAAGCCAACCAAUAAUUGGAUCCUUCCAAACCUGAAUGGGCUAAAGAGCCAUUUCUGGCUGGCCAGGAGAUAUAGACCUCAUAAAGGAAGGAUAUAUGCAUUUAUUAAACACCUACUACGUGCUAGGUAAGGGCUAGGUGGUACAGUGGA